CAGAAAUCUGUUCUGACAUUAAAAGGAAAUGAGUGAGAACAUUUGUGCAGACCAUAUUUUACAUCCUUCCACGCCUUUCAGGCCUUAUUGAAGAUGAAUGGAUCACCAUUGAUAAAUUUACCAGAUUCACUGAUGUUCCUUUAGCUGCGGGAUUUCAGUGGUACCUUUCUCAAACUCAACUUAGUAAACUAAAACCAGGUGACUGGUCUCAGCAAGACAUAGGUACUAAUUUGGUCGAAGCAGAUAACCAAGCGGAGUGGACCGACGUUCAGAAGAAGAUUAUCCCGUGGAACAGUCGUGUUUCCGACUUAGACCUGGAGCUCCUGUUUCAGGAUCGUGCUGCCAGACUUGGAAAGUCAAUUAGUAGACUCAUCGUUGUGGCCUCGCUCAUCGACAAACCGACCAAUUUAGGAGGUAAAACCACCUCAGCUAAUUGAUUAUCUGCAGCAGAAGAAAACAGAAGGUUAUACCAUCAUUGGAGUGGAACAAACUGCCAAAAGUUUAGACCUAACCCAAUAUUGCUUUCCUGAGAAAUCUCUGCUCUUGUUGGGAAAUGAACGUGAGGGAAUUCCAGCAAAUCUGAUCCAACAGUUGGACGUUUGUGUGGAAAUUCCUCAACAGGGCAUUAUCCGCUCCCUGAAUGUCCAUGUGAGUGGAGCCCUGCUGAUCUGGGAGUACACCAGGCAGCAGCUGCUCUCG
This 699-nucleotide long non-coding RNA is filed under the name Homo sapiens (human). RNAcentral's name for it is "HSALNT0024121". Lineage: Eukaryota; Metazoa; Chordata; Mammalia; Primates; Hominidae. The record is from RNAcentral.